UCGUCAUGGUGACUUUUUUUCGACGGUUUUUUUUGGAAGUUGCUGCGUUGUCGAAAAUCUAGCACUGAGUUUUAUUACAAACAUCAUUACCUCAGUUCUAUUACUUAAACUUCCUCAAACUCAGUUUUAACGUCCGAAUACUCAACCGCGACUUAAAUAUUAUGUUGAACUUAAUUACGCAAUUCCUACUUUAAUGUACUGGCUAAGUGGGCCGUGCAAAUUAAUAUUUGACACACUGAGUGAGACAUUGCAACACACAUGGUCUGCGCGUAUCGGGUGCUCUUUUCCUACAUUCACAUCUUCAAUUGAUUUAAAAUUGCUUGUAUUUUUACUUCUGUGCUAUUUUCAUGACACGUGUAUAUUAAGUCUACUAGUUACAUUUUAGGAAAUAAAACACAAUGGGUAAUAAAAUGAAAUGAACUGAAAUUCAUUUAUUUGUUAUAUGUAGACAAUUAAAUAACUCUUAAAUGACAAGUCAAUACACAUAACACAAUACACAUAGUACUUGAUCUCUAUUUACAAAAUAUUGGUUAUAUUAUUAUUAUUAAGUUCAGUUAAUUUUCUGUAGUCUUAUAAUAUAAAAUUUCCUCUAUUUUAAGUAAAUUCUUUUUUUUCAACGAAAUACAUAAUUUAUUUUAAUCAAUAUCUAAGUGGACCAUGAGUAUCAUUAAAAUUUCGCAAUUUAAAUUUCAAUUCAAUUAAAAAUCGCCAUUUUUCUUUAAUGAAUCUAAAAUCGACUUUAUAUUUACAAUCACUAUUUCGCGACUUUUAAGUUUUUGUUUCAAUACCUUAACAUCUUGUCGUAAUUUUGCUUUUCUCGGGGUAUUUUUUAUUUCUUGCGUUUGAGUACUUGAUUCUUCUUGUUUGACCUUUAUAUAGAACAUUUUCUAGAAAUUCCAACGUCAUAUUUACUAGAAGAUCCUCCUCGUUCGCUUAACGUCAGGCAAAUGAUAUACAUGCUUGCGUGCGACGCUAUUCAAUACAAUAAAAAAAGUUCAAAAAAUACUACGUGAUGGCUCUUAUAAUAUAAAAAAUACAUUGCAAAAUUAUAGUUUUCACGAUUGUUUUUUCAAAUUUAGUAUAUGACAUAGAUUAAGUACAAUUUACAAGACAAAUGGUAAUAAAUAUUAUAAUGAGAAAAAAUAUCUCACAUUUUAAAAAUAUAUGCUCACACUAGUAAAAAUUUAUCAAUGAAUCUGACAUAUGGAAGGAUAUUCCACAAACUGGAGAGGAUUCUCGCUUAAAACCACUUACAUUAAAAGUGUUCACCAUGAUUACACGGAAACUUUCACGAUUUUCGAAAAAAAACAAGCCACAAGCUGUAUCAGUGCCAUUUUAACUUCGCACUACAAACGUAAAUAGACGCCAUUUUUCUUUUAAUCCAUUCAUAGCUCUUUUUCGGUGAUGCCAACAAUUAAUCUGGCUUCCCACCAAAUUCAACAUGAAAACCAUCGGAAAUCUACGUACCUACCAUUACAUUUUCCAUUAAACAGAGUUCUUAUUAAUAUAGAACAAUAAUUUUUUUGUUAAUGAGCUUUAUUAAUAUAUGAUGUUCUAUUAAAAAUCAAUAUAUAUCAUAUAAUCAAUACUUCUUAUAUAAUUUAUUUUAAUAAAUUGUCAUCAUCAGAAACUAAUUUCACCAUAACUUUGUACGUUUAUUUUGAACCAAUUUAAUUUUUGACGUUGAUGGAAAUUCUAAAUUGUCGCAACAUUUUCUAGUUAAGUUUAAGUCACAUCGUUUAAAUAAUAUGAAGUUUAAGUCACAUCGUUUAAAUAAUAUGUAUUUAGAUAUAUUAUUGUCAUAAAAUGUUUAAAAUCCUGUAAAGUGGAUUGAUUUUAACCUUUUCGAUAAUUUUCAACAACUCCCAAGCUACUAAAAAAUCCACUAACCACUAAAAGCCAUUUUUGAUAACUAAGACGGGGGUUCAAAUUCCGAGAUUUUAUGGAAAAUCCCCUAAGCUAGCAACACUGCUUUUUGUUUGUAAAAUGUGCGAGAGGGACACCACCACUUAAUAAUCAUUCUCUUUUCAGACCUUCGAUCAACAAUAGUAACUAGAUUUCGGGUCAGUGCAUAAAAUCCGUCUCGUCAAAUAACAGCGCACUUGAAAUGUGAGCUCUUAUUUUGUUUAGUUCACUUCAAACACAGCCAAUGUCAACCCGUCUCACAAUACCGCAGUGUGUAUUCAAAAGUUGCAAAAAUAAGGCCCGAAAAAGCAAUUUAACGGCCGGAAUAUCUUACUUUCGCUUUCCUAGCAAUCACGUGUGCAGAAUGGAUCUCGAUUGUCGCCAGAGAAACAAGAGAUGACUUUUAUAAGCCAGCUAAGAUCUCCGCUUAUUGACACUGGACAUCUUUGCCUUCCGUGCUCACGGCUACUGAAACGUGGCCGAAACAUUGUAAUAAAAAUACCACGCUUGAAACCGUUUAAA
Bombyx mori (domestic silkworm) is the source of this 2427-nucleotide long non-coding RNA. RefSeq lists it as uncharacterized. The transcript is spliced from 2 exons. Lineage: Eukaryota; Metazoa; Arthropoda; Insecta; Lepidoptera; Bombycidae. The record is from RefSeq and is a predicted model, not a curated record.